Long non-coding RNA from Salmo salar (Atlantic salmon), 2342 nucleotides. RefSeq lists it as uncharacterized. The record is from RefSeq and is a predicted model, not a curated record. Lineage: Eukaryota; Metazoa; Chordata; Actinopteri; Salmoniformes; Salmonidae.
AGUUUGGCCUUUUGUUGCCAGCAUACUUCAGUGGAUUCGAUUUCCCAGUGAUGUCCCAGCUAACAAUUCUAGGGGGAGAGAGACUUUUCCUUGGACUGCUGCUGGCCUGUGUUACCAUGGCACUGACCAGUAAGGGUGCAGUCAAGCGGUAAGGUGAAAGAGAAGGUGAAGAUAGAGGCCCUGGAUCUUUGUCUGAAGUAUGGCUUUGUGACUCCUCUCAUCUCCAUGGUGGUCACCAAGCCCCAGGGAGAAGCCUCACAGGUGGCCCACAAGCCCAAGAAGGGGGAGAACCCCACCAUGAGCCACCACCACGGAGUCCCCGGUUGAAGUGGUUGGUGGAGAGAACGAGGUCAUCUGCAAAGUCCAAGUCUUCCAGCUGGGUGAACAGGGCCCACUGGAUGCCUCUGGGUUUAUGGGAUGUGGUUUGGGUUAUGAUUCAGUGGUAAGGAGGAAGAGGAUAGGAGAGAUGAUGCACCUUUGUCUCAAUGCAGAGAUGGUAUUACCUAUGAAGACUCAGCAUUCAAAGUGUUCAAAUAAUUGUCCUAUGAUUGUACUCUUAGAAAAGAAUAUGCUAUCUAGAACCUAAAAGGGUUCUUCAGCUGUCUCCAUAGGAUAACCCAUUUUAAGAACCCUUUUUGGUUCCAGGUAGAACCCUGUUGGUUCCCGUUGGAAACCUUUUUGGUUCCAUGUAGAACAUUUUCUACAGAGGGUUCUACAUGGAACCAAAAAGGGUUCUCCUAUAGGGAAAGCUGAAUAACUCUUUUGAAACCCUUUUUUCUAAGAGUGUAAUGAUCUUCGAUGGAAGCCCAUAGGCGCUCACUGUUUUGCAUAGGGUGUUCCUAUGUACACUAUUAAAAGCCUUUCUUGAAGUCAACAAAAUUGAUAAAAAGGGGUGUGUUCCAUUGUUCUAUAAUGUUUCACAGUGCAAAUCCUGGUCCAUACAUCCUCUUCCUUUCCAGAAUCCUUCCUCUUACCUGAGUGUCAUGUCAACAGCUGCUUCUAUGCAUUGAGGAAAACCUUGCUUGCUAUGAAUAGUAAGUUAAUUCCUCGCCAGUUAUCAUAGUUCUUGAGAGUGCCUUUUUGGGGGAAUUUUCACUGAGGCCUUUCGACCAUAUGGUGUCAUUCUACCAGGUGUUUUUAAUGAGGUCGGUCAGAACUUUAGUAGUUGUGAUGUCUCCCUUCACUUCUUUAACCUUGGUUUUGUAGGCUACCUGGGCUUGUUCCUGAAGCCUUGGUGAUCAGUAAUCCUACUUUCAGUUGUUUCCUUUAAUUUUCUAUGGAACGCCAUUUGGGUCUUUGUGUGUAAAGAAAAAAAGGUACACGUCAAAUAACACUUUGGCGCGUCAAAUACACUUUUUAAUAACAAAAUUAUAUUCUAGAAUGUGUGAAUUUGCAUCCGCAAGCCAAGUGCCACCACUACAGUAUAGAAGUAUAGAAACAGCGGCCACGAUGUGUUUACAAUACUACGAAUUUACGAAAGCGCCCAAAUGUCCAUUGAGAAAGCACAACGACUAUACCAUUUAGCUAAGAAUGACGAGAAUAAUCAAGACCAUAAACGUUAGGUAGUUAGAUGUAUAACUACUAACGUUAGGUAGCUAGCUAACAUACCGGUACAUACUGCUGUAAUGAUAUGCUAUGUAGUUCGUAAGGACAGCGUAGCUAACAAAUUGUCAGCCAACAUACCGUGCAAAGUAACUUAUUUGAAAAGUUAUUACUUUAUUACAUUGAGUAGCAAGCUACCCCUUGGUCAUUAGGGCAAAUCUGGUCUGUGAUAGGAGGUUUUUUUUCACACCUAGCUCGGCUAUUAGACUAUUCUUUAGUAAAGGUUGAAUAGUCUAUUCAGCUAUUAGCCCUCACCAACUUGCAAAAAAUUGUUGUUCCCAUCUCAUUCCUUUCCUUCUUCCAUGUGUCAUCAUUCUACUCCUGAGUAGCUCGCUUGUGGGCGUGCUGGCAGGAUAUGGCAGCAUCUUCGGUUGUGCAUCAAGAAUUCUGAAUACUGUAGCACGUUUGUAUGAAGGUGUGGUUAUUCACAGGCAAAUUGUUAUAUGCUAUGAAGGUACAUUUGUGUCUUUUUGUCGAUCAAAAUUAUUAUAUAUUUUUUUUUUCAUUCAAAAAUAAUUGUUUUGAAAGCAACUUUUUUCAGACACAAAGGAAGUCAAAGCAGGCACCUACAAAGAUGGCAUCUCAGAGAGCGAGCUGACCAAGGGGUUGAAAAUGUAGAUAUUGCCAGAUGUUCACUGUCCGAGGAACAGGCCGUGGAAGCUUUAUUGCUGGCAAAAGUGUCCAUAACCAGAAGUUAUAUCAGCUGUUUUGGUGAACCCCUCCCGCAUCUGAACUGGCUG